RNAcentral lists this ribosomal RNA (253 nucleotides) under uncultured bacterium. RNAcentral describes it as "partial 16S ribosomal RNA". It matches the Rfam family "Bacterial small subunit ribosomal RNA", at positions 524 to 776 of the family's 1533-position model. The record is from RNAcentral.
GACAGAGGGUGCAAACGUUGCUCGGAAUCACUGGGCGUAAAGGGCGUGUAGGCGGGAAGGAAAGUCAGAUGUGAAGUCCCUGGGCUCAACCCAGGAACUGCAUUUGAAACUCCCUUUCUUGAGUGUCGGAGAGGAAAGCGGAAUUCCUGGUGUAGAGGUGAAAUUCGUAGAUAUCAGGAGGAACACCGGUGGCGAAGGCGGCUUUCUGGACGACAACUGACGCUGAGACGCGAAAGCGUGGGGAGCAAACAGG